RNAcentral lists this long non-coding RNA (14136 nucleotides) under Glycine max (soybean). Its description in RNAcentral is "long non-coding RNA (GMAX_LNC003742)". The record is from RNAcentral. Lineage: Eukaryota; Viridiplantae; Streptophyta; Magnoliopsida; Fabales; Fabaceae.
AUCCCACAACAAGUUACAAGGCAAUAUUCCAGAAUCAAUUUUUAGCCUUCUAAACCUUACUGACUUAGAUCUAUCAUCAAACAAUUUAAGUGGAUCUGUCAAAUUUCAUCAUUUCUCCAAGCUUCAAAAUUUGAAAGAACUUCAACUUUCACAGAAUGAUCAGUUAUCACUAAAUUUCAAAUCAAAUGUCAGUUAUAGUUUCUCCAAUUUAUUGAGUUUGGACUUAUCUUCUAUGGGUUUAACUGAAUUUCCAAAAUUAUCGGGAAAAGUCCCAAUCUUGGAAUCACUCUAUUUGUCCAAUAACAAACUUAAAGGUAGAGUGCCAAAUUGGUUCCAUGAAAUAUCGUUAUAUGAAUUGGACCUCUCUCAUAACCUAUUGACACAAUCAUUGGACCAAUUCUCGUGGAACCAACAACUCGGUUACCUUGAUCUUAGUUUUAACUCAAUCACUGGUGACUUCUCUUCCUCAAUUUGCAAUGCAAGUGCAAUUGAGAUUCUCAACUUGUCUCACAACAAGUUGACAGGAACCAUUCCACAAUGCCUUGCUAACUCAUCAUCCCUUCAAGUUUUGGAUCUACAACUGAACAAGCUUCAUGGCACUUUGCCAAGUACCUUUGCAAAGGACUGUUGGCUCAGAACUCUGGAUCUCAAUGGCAACCAAUUAUUAGAAGGUUUUUUGCCAGAAUCUUUGUCCAAUUGCAUUAAUCUGGAGGUUUUAGAUCUUGGAAACAAUCAAAUAAAGGAUGUGUUUCCCCAUUGGCUUCAAAUUCUACCAGAAUUGAAAGUAUUGGUUUUGCGAGCCAACAAGUUGUACGGUCCCAUUGCCGGUUUAAAGACCAAACACGGAUUCCCCAGUUUAGUCAUUUUUGAUGUCUCUUCCAACAACUUCAGCGGCCCAAUACCAAAAGCCUACAUUAAAACAUUUGAAGCGAUGAAGAACGUUGCUCUACAUGCCUAUAGCCAAUACAUGGAAGUUUCUGUAAAUGCUUCUUCUGGACCCAACUACACUGAUUCUGUGACUAUAACAACAAAAGCAAUUACUAUGACAAUGGACAGAAUUCGAAAUGACUUUGUAAGCAUUGAUUUAUCCCAAAACAGAUUUGAAGGAGAGAUUCCAAGUGUCAUUGGGGAACUUCAUUCACUCAGAGGGCUAAACCUUUCCCAUAACAGACUUAUUGGUCCUAUUCCCCAAUCCGUGGGAAAUUUGAGAAACUUAGAAUCGUUGGAUCUCUCCUCAAAUAUGCUUACUGGUGGGAUACCUACAGAAUUAAUCAAUUUGAACUUUCUUGAAGUCCUAAAUCUUUCCAAUAACAAUCUUGUGGGAGAAAUACCUCAAGGAAAACAGUUCGGUACUUUUUCCAAUGAUUCCUAUGAGGGAAACUCAGGGUUAUGUGGACUCCCACUGACAAUCAAAUGCAGCAAGGACCCUGAACAACAUUCUCCACCUUCAACUACCUUCAGGAGAGAAGGAGGAUUUGGAUUUGGUUGGAAACCAGUGGCUAUAGGAUAUGGAUGUGGAAUGGUCUUUGGAGUUGGAAUGGGAUGUUGUGUACUGUUAAUGGGAAAGCCUCAAUGGCUUGUGAGAAUGGUUGGAGGUCAACUAAAUAAAAAGGUGAAAAGGAAGACAAGGAUGAAAUCUAAUGAAAAUGGUAGCAUAAUGAAUUAGAUGAUAUGUGGCAUGACUGUAGAAUGUCUUCUUGCACACCUUCCUGUUGAAAUUCAAUUCUGCCUUGUUGAAAAUAAAACAUAAGGGCCAAAACCUUAUCACACUGCAUUGCAUAUGCAUGGGAGAUCUGUUUCAAAGUUUAGUUGUAAUUGUAAUAUGAUGUGUUGUACUUUUUUUUUUCUCUGUUGGAUAGAUGAGUGUGAUGUACUUUUUUCCCCUUCCUUUGCUACUGAAACUCGGGUCUAAAUCAUCAUAAGUUUGAUGUUCUUCAUUUUCCUUGAGCGGGCUAUUUUGUUUUAUUUAAUACAUAUAAUUGUAGUAUUGGUUAUAUAAUAAUAGUUGUUGUUGUAUACUCUUAAAAAUGUUCUGCAUUCGUCGUUGCUAGAAACAAAAUAUUUUGUGUUAACAGUAUGUAGUUAUAUUUCAUUCGAGGAGCUUAGUUCACGUACAGUAGUUUUCCUAUUUCGUUUCUAACUCCCUCAUGCACAUAUUGUCUUACAUGGCAAUUCUAUGACUGGAUGACCAUAUAAAAAAACUUGACACAGAUAUGGAAAGAUUUUCAAGAGCUGUCCUGAGGAGGUUCAUUGUCUUGAUGACUAGGAUGGGAUUGAGUUUGAAUCUGUUUUAUACUAGCCAGCAAUUUCUAGGCCACACCAACCUGCUGCAAAGUACUUGGGAGGCACACAAAAGACUAAGAAUGCUGUUUUCUGAACCUUUAUCAAUUGAUGGCCUGAAAAAAUAUUUUUCAUUUCAUAAAUACUCAGGCAAUGGAAACAUUAGAUAAAUGCCUAGGAAGGAAAGUGUUAGAAUUAAUGUCUCAUGUGAGAGGUAUAUGACUUAGUAGGGACUAAUAAAUAAAUAAUUAACGAUUAAAGGCUAAAUUGUAAUUGGGCUUAAUAGGAGAAGUUUCUAGGUUAACUGCUACUUGAUGGGAGUAGUGGUUAUAAAAGGGGCUUAAUACCCACUAACGUGAAAUAAGGUCCCCUUCCUGACCAAAAAGUGCUCUUUUCUCACCCAUAGCCAUCACGAACGGAGAGAGACAGAAAAGAAAGGUCAAAGGAAGUGAAAUCCUAUUUCUCUCAUCUUCAAAGAAAUCAAAGUGCACCAGAGAGAAGUUCCUAUGGAGAAAGGUACACAUCAUUAUCUAUUAUUCUUUAUUGAUUGUUUGUGAGAAUCAUAGGUUUCAAGAUCCUGUUGGUUUUCUAUAAUUGAUAGUCUAGGAAACCCCUUAAGAAUUUUUACAUGUGGUAUCAGAGCAUGUGUUAUGAAAUUUAUGAUUCUCCAAGAAUGAUUUAAUUUCUCCCAAUUAUGUAUGAACCCUAAUUAUGAAAUUUAGGGAUAAUUUAAUUUCUCUCAAUUAUGUAUGAACCCUAAUUAUGAAAUUUAGGGAUAAUUUAAUUUCUCCCAAUUAUGCAUAAAUCCUAAUUAUGAAAUUUAGGAAUUUUAUUUUCCGCUGCAUUUAUUGUUUUAUUGGUAAUAUUUUAUUAUUGUUGAAUACCAAUUUUUGGAGAAAGUAUAAAUAUUAUGUAAAUUUGGAGAAAACGAUUGUGGCUGCCACUAUCUAUUUAUAAUGGAAAAAGAAAGCGUGAGUUGCAAUUCCAAUUCAUGGAAAAGCUAUGGCUGCUACACGUAGGUUAGUAAGUGAAGGAAUUUUGAAAAGCUGCGCACUGCGCAGGUAUGUUUGUUCCUAUAAGAAAUUUUGGAAAUUGCUAUUUCCAACCUUAUGUUUGCUAUUUCCAAUCCCAUUUAAUUUUUUUUUUCUCCGAAAAAUUAUUGUUGAACGUGAUUAAAGGAUUGAAAAUUUAUGUUCUGUAAUUAAAUUAAUGUGAAUGUUUUGCAAUUAUUGAUAGUAGUAAAUAUAUGUAUAUGCUACAUAUUUGCUUGAACGUGUUGGAAUGUAAAAACACAAAUAAAUGCAAAUCUUAUUUUAUGGUCUGGAAUGAAAUUAAUAGAAUGACUAUGAAUUGUUAAUAGCAAUAAGUAUGUGCAGGCCAUACAUAUUUGGUUGGAAUUAAAUGUAUGUUGAAUUUGUUAGUCACCAAAGUGACCAAAUUUGUAAGAUUAUUUAAUUCCAAAUCAAUGAUUAUUUCAAUUAUACUUGGUUGGAAUUAAAUGUAUGUUGAAUUUGUUAGUCACCAAAGUGGCCAAAUUUGUAAGGUUAUUUAAUUCCAAAAUUAAUGAUUAUUUUGAUUACUCAUAGAAUAAUGGAUGCUAAAUUAUAUGGUUAUUGGUUUAUGGGUAAUUGAAAUUCAUUGUUAUAAGGCAUUUAUGGAUCGCUCAAAGGUUGAUUAGUUGUUCUUAUAAUUAAUGAAUAUAAUUGUAGACGAUUUGUGUGUAUCAUUAGUUUUAUUUAUAUGCCCAAAGGAAAUAGAUACUACUAAUUGGUGCAUAUUUAAUUGCCAAAUAAUGUUAAAAUUUUAUUAGUAUCAUUAUGUUUGUAUGUUGUGUGUUGAUGUAUCACCCAAAGGAGAACAUCAAUAUACAUUGACUGUUAUCUGAAUGAAUCAUAUGUGAUUGAGAGAUGGAAAUACCAUUGUUUCCACGUUUGAUCUUUAUUCCUAAGAUCACAUCCGCCUCCCCCAUAUCUUUCAUAUCAAACUUAGAAGACAAAAAUGCCUUAGUUUCAUCAACUUGAUCUUGGUCGGUACCAAAGAUCAACAUGUCGUCUACAUACAGACAAAUGAUAACUCCUUUGCCAUGAGUAUCAAACUUGCUGUAUAGACAUUUAUCUGCUUGGUUUAUAACAAAACCACUAGACAACACAACCUCAUCAAAUUUUUGAUGCCAUUGCUUAGGCGCUUGUUUCAAGCCAUAAAGAGAUUUCAUCAGUUUACACACCUUAUUUUCAUUUCCUGGCAUAACAAACCCUUCAGGUUGUUUCAUGUAUAUCUCUUCAUCCAAUUCACCAUUUAAGAAUGCAGUUUUCACAUCCAUUUGGUGAAUCAUCAGAUUGUGGAUAGCAGCAAGUGCUAACAACAGUCUAAUAGUGGAUAUCCUAGCUACAGGAGCAUAUGUAUCGAAAAAAUCAAUACCCUUCUUUUGCCUAAAGCCUUGGAUAACCAAUCUGGCUUUGUACUUGUCAACAGUACCAUCCACUUUCAUCUUUCUCCUAAAGAUCAUCUUACAUCCUAAUGGCUUACAUCCAGGAGGUAAGUCAACCAAUUUCCAUGUAUUAUUUUGCAUGAUGGAAUCCAUCUCACUUUGGAUUACUUCUUUCCAGAAUACAGCAUCCCUUGAAGCCAUUGCUUCACUAAAAGUCUUUGGGUCUUCCUCAACAUUAAGGCAAUAUUGAUAUUGAAAUUCAAUAUCAUUCCUUGACCCUUCAACCAAAUAGAGUUGAAAGUCAUCACCAAAUGACUUAGCUUUUCUUACUCUCGUACUCUUUCUAGUUUCAGUACUAGUUAAAGGUAUAUCCUCAAUAUUAACUGAGACUUUCGACAUGGAAUUCAUGUCCUUUGGCCUAGGUAUAGAUGUAAACCUUUGUUCAUGGGAAAAUGGGACAGAUUGUUGCUCUUGGGCUGGAGUCACCUGCCACCCCAUCUCAGGUCACGUCACUCAGCUCAACCUCAGCUGCAAUGGCCUUUACGGCAAUAUCCAUCCAAACAGUACGCUUUUUCAUCUUUCUCAUCUUCACUCACUCAACCUUGCUUUCAAUGAUUUUGAUGAAUCUCAUUUGUCAUCUCUCUUUGGUGGGUUUGUGAGCCUCACUCAUCUCAACUUGUCUAAUUCGUACUUUGAAGGGGAUAUUCCUUCCCAAAUCUCUCACCUUUCCAAAUUAGUCUCACUUGAUCUCUCAGAUAACAACCUCAACGGUUCAAUCCCAUCCUCACUCUUAACCCUCACACAUCUUACUUUCUUGGAUCUCUCAUAUAACCAACUCAGUGGUCAAAUCCCAGAUGUCUUUCCUCAGUCAAACAGCUUUCACGAAUUGCAUUUGAAUGAUAACAAAAUAGAGGGUGAGCUGCCAUCAACACUUUCAAAUCUUCAACAUCUCAUUCUCUUGGAUCUUUCAGAUAAUAAAUUGGAGGGCCCUCUGCCUAACAAUAUAACAGGGUUUUCAAACCUAACAUCGUUAAGGUUAAAUGGAAACUUACUGAAUGGGACAAUUCCUUCUUGGUGUUUAUCUUUGCCAUCUUUGAAGCAGUUAGAUCUAUCAGGAAACCAACUCUCUGGGCAUAUUAGUGCAAUCUCAUCAUAUUCCUUGGAGACAUUGUCUUUAUCCCACAACAAGUUACAAGGCAAUAUUCCAGAAUCAAUUUUUAGCCUUCUAAACCUUUAUUACUUAGGUCUAUCAUCAAACAAUCUAAGUGGAUCUGUCAAAUUUCAUCGUUUCUCCAAGCUUCAAUAUUUGGAAGAACUUCACCUUUCAUGGAAUGAUCAGUUAUCACUAAAUUUCGAAUCCAAUGUCAAUUAUAAUUUCUCUAAUUUAAGGUUGUUGAACUUAUCUUCUAUGGUUUUAACUGAAUUUCCAAAAUUAUCGGGAAAAGUCCCAAUUUUAGAAUCACUCUAUUUGUCCAAUAACAAACUUAAAGGUAGAGUGCCACAUUGGUUGCAUGAAAUAUCGUUAUCUGAAUUGGACCUCUCUCAUAACCUAUUGACACAAUCAUUGCACCAAUUCUCGUGGAACCAACAACUCGGUUCCCUUGAUCUUAGUUUUAACUCAAUCACUGGUGACUUCUCUUCCUCAAUUUGCAAUGCAAGUGCAAUUGAGAUUCUCAACUUGUCUCACAACAAGUUGACAGGAACCAUUCCACAAUGCCUUGCAAACUCAUCAUCCCUUCUAGUUUUGGAUCUACAACUGAACAAGCUUCAUGGCACUUUGCCAAGUAUCUUUUCAAAGGACUGUCAGCUCAGAACUCUGGAUCUCAAUGGCAACCAAUUAUUAGAAGGUCUUUUGCCAGAAUCUAUAUCCAAUUGCAUUCAUCUGGAGGUUUUAGAUCUUGGAAACAAUCAAAUAAAGGAUGUGUUUCCCCAUUGGCUUCAAACUCUACCAGAAUUGAAAGUAUUGGUUUUGCGAGCCAACAAGUUGUACGGUCCCAUUGCCGGUUUAAAGAUCAAGGAUGGAUUCCCCAGUUUAGUCAUCUUUGAUGUCUCUUCCAACAACUUCAGCGGCCCAAUACCAAAAGCCUACAUACAAAAAUUUGAAGCGAUGAAGAACGUUGUUAUAGAUACCGAUCUGCAGUACAUGGAAAUUUCUUUUUCUUAUGGUGGAAACAAGUACAGUGAUUCUGUGACUAUAACAACAAAAGCAAUUACUAUGACAAUGGAUAGAAUUCGAAAUGACUUUGUAAGCAUUGAUUUAUCGCAAAACGGAUUUGAAGGAGAGAUUCCAAAUGCCAUUGGAGAGCUUCAUUCACUCAGAGGACUCAACCUUUCCCAUAACAGACUUAUUGGUCCUAUUCCCCAAUCCAUGGGAAAUUUGACAAACUUAGAAUCAUUGGAUCUCUCCUCAAAUAUGCUCACUGGUCGGAUACCUACAGAAUUAACCAAUUUGAACUUUCUUGAAGUGCUAAAUCUUUCCAAUAACCAUCUUGCGGGAGAAAUACCUCGAGGACAACAGUUCAAUACUUUUUCCAAUGAUUCCUACAAGGGAAACUUGGGGUUAUGUGGACUCCCAUUGACAACAGAAUGCAGCAAGGGCCCUGAACAACAUUCUCCACCUUCAACUACCUUGAGGAGAGAAGCAGGAUUUGGAUUUGGUUGGAAACCAGUGGCUAUAGGAUAUGGAUGUGGAGUGGUCUUUGGAGUGGGAAUGGGAUGUUGUGUAUUGUUAAUAGGAAAGCCUCAAUGGCUUGUGAGAAUGGUUGGAGGUAAACUCAAUAAAAAGGUGAAAAGGAAGACAAGGAUGAGAUCUAAUGAAAAUGGUAGCAGAAUGAAUUAGUUGAUAUAUGGCAUGACUGGAGAAUGUCUUGUUACAUACCUGCCAUCUUUGAAAACAAAACUUAAGGGCAAGAACUUGAUCACACUGCAUUGCAUGGGAGAUCUGGUUCAAAGUUUUGCUGUAAUAUGAAUGUGUUGUACUUUUGCUUUUUUGUGUGUUCUUCUUCGUUUGUUGUGUAGAAGAGUGCGAUGUAUUGAGUUGCAGUUUUGAUUUAUUUAAUACGUAUAACUGUGGCAUUAAUUGGUUGUAUAAUAAUAGAUGUUGUAUAUUUUUAAAAAUGCUAUGUAUUGGCCAAUGCUAAAAUAUCUUGUAUCUUAAUUCAAGAGCUGAAUUCACGGUUUUAGCUUCCAUUGUAGUUUAUUUAAUUAAUUUUCUAACUAUUUAAGCACCGUGACAUGGCUUUAGAAGCUGAGGUCGUCCAGGGCGUAAGUAUAAGAGCACAAACAAUGCAUACUAAAGGAAGGCUAUGGGUAUAGCCUAGGCCUCAUGGUCCGUAGGAUAUCACAUAUUUAUUUUUUAUUAAGUAAUUUUUCCCAAAUUAGAAUAAUUGUUUGGUGAAAAUUUUUCAAAAUUUGAAAUAAAAGUAGCAGUACUAAAAUCAGUUAUAAUUAAAUAUAAACUUUUUCUUUUUCAAUUACUAUUACGAUAAAUUGGUAGUGGUACGUGCUGUAAAUAUUACAUCUACUUAUAAUGUCAGCACCCAAAAAUUAUUUUUAUAAUGUAAAAUUUACAUUGUCAUUAAUUUGCUUUAUUAAUUUUUAUUAUAACUAUUUAAAAUUUAUAUUAUCAUCAUAAAAUCUGAAAAAUCGUAUCUAUAAUUUUUAAUAAGCGUAAAAUUUUGUAAUUUUUAUAAACUUUAGUAAAUAUUAAAAAAUAUAUAAUAUAAUGCUAGUAUUUUUCAAAAAAAUCAACAUUGUCCUUAAAUAAACCAGUGUGCUGUACAAUAAUUCACUUUUAUCAUUCAAAAGAAAAAUUAAAACUGUAAUUCAAAAUAAAAUAAGCAUGAGUGACUUUUAUAAUAAUGACCUUAAUGAUUAAAUAUAUUUAAUUUUAACAAAUACUUAAUUUAUUAAUAAUAUAUUUAAUUUUAACAACAUUCUAAAAAUAAGAUAAUAUCUUUUUUUAUGAAAAUAAUAUCUUAAAGAUUUGAGGAUAUAAAUUUGAAUUAUUUCUGAAUAAAAUCUUGGAUAUGCAAUUAAAUACUUGAAGAAAGAAUUGUAUCAUCCAUAAUAAUCAUAUUGAUUCAAACAAGAUUAUCUUCAAUGAAAUAUACCUAUUGUCAUGAUGAAAAACAUAAGAUGUAAGAUAUAUCUAACAAAAAGCAAAGUUAGACUUAUGUAGAUCAACCAACUAAUCCCUAUACCCACUCAUCACCUGAGCUCAGCCAAAACUCGCUUAAGCCCCAACUGUGCAUGGCUUAAGCUCUUAGCCAACACCACUUAUGCUACAUAAAAACAUGUUAGUUUGCUCAUUUGUUCUUUUCUUGCAGGAAAUCUCUCCAAGUUUGGGCUCACAUUCGUGAUUUGGCUCCUUUCCGCAGACGUUUCACUUCUUUACAGCGCAUUACUGACUCUUUAAUUAGGGGCAGAUCUACAUCAGAUGUUCAAGGAAAAUUACCCUAUAGCAAUUACAGUCUACUGCAUCAGGCUGUUUAGGAACAAGCUGAUUUUUGAAGAUUAUCAAUUUUCUGUACUAUAAGUUAUUAGCAAGAUUAAAUUUCUUAUGUAUCGACGAGCGCAUCUGUUGCAUUUGUUUUAUCAUCUUGAUAUAGGUCUUCUUGUAUUAGGAAGACUUUUGAUUUUUAACUGUCGGGUAUGCCCCGUUUAUUAUUGUAUCGUUUUGGGUUUAAUAUCAUUUACAUUUUCUCCAAAACAUGUUAGUUUUUGUGCCCAUUCUACCUUAAGCGCUACGCAAUUAAUACCACUUAAGCUACUUCAAACUAAUUUGCUCAAAUUAAAAAGAGUAGAUAUGCUACAUUAAAGAGUUUUAUUCCAUUCAAUAUCCCUUCAGAAAGUGAUUUCGCAUUGAAUGUUCCUUCUUUCUAAAAGUGAUCUCUCUCAAAGUGAUCUUUAAAACAAUGUAGAAUUUAUAAAAAAAAAAAAAAAAUUGCGUGUAAUGUGUUCCUUCUUUAACUAAGGGAUCUUUGAACAAUUUAAAAUUUUAUAAACAUUUACUAAUUCUUUUUCUGUCGAUCACCAUAGGCUUAGUAUUAGAAUUUCAAAUUUUAGAUGUGAAAGGACGAAAACUGCAAUGUGAAAAGUGAAAGUUGUUACGUGGAAGUAUAUAUAGUAAAAUGAAAAGAAAAAUCGGAAAGAACAAACUCCGUGUGAACAUCACUAAUUAAAGUUAAAGUUGGACUAAAUUAAAAGAACCAAUAAAAACAAAAGUAAGAUCACUAAUUAAAGUUAAAGUUAAACUAUUAAAAAGAACCAAUAGAAACAAAAGUAAGAGAAAUAAAAGUCAACAACAGCCUAGGUACCUCUCCAAAUACUUGCAAGCUUAAUAAAAUAAUGAAAAUCUAAUAAAAAAAAUGGAGGAAAUAGCCAACACACCUUCUAUAUAUGACCAUGCAUUGUUACAUCUCUACCACAAAAUAUGAAUAUCUAAUCUUAUUGGAAACGAUAUUAAUAAAUGAAAAGAUAAACAUCUCUUUUUAAACCUUAUACAUCAUUCACAUAAUUAUUUCAUGUAUCAUGUUUAACAUUUUUUAAUUUCAAUUUAUAUUUUCUUCUUCGUAAAUAUAAAGCCAUGUACACCCAUUAACAAAGUUCAUCUUGUUUACAGCUUCCUUUAAAAAAAACUGUUGUUUACAACUUAUUCUCCACAUUAAUUAUCUUAAUCUUUUUUUUCAAACAAAGCUCAAUCAAUUUUUCAUAUAAAAAUUAAUUCUAACUUUUAAUUUUAUUCUCAAUAUCAAACAAUCACAUCAAACACUUUAUAAUCAUCCACCAUAUUCCAACAAUAUCCAACUCCUAAAUUGUGACAGAUAUAAGUUUUCUAACUUACAAAUAUUUUAAUUUCUAAGUUAAAUUUGAAAAAUAUUAAUUUAAAAAUAACUUGUUUAAAUAAUAUAAUUGUGAAAAAUAUGUUAAUUUUAUACAUACGCUUUCAACAACUAUCUUAGAAUUAUGUAUUCUUUUUAAUUUAAUAUAACAUUUCUUUUUAAAUAUUUCUAACAUCUUGAAAUUAUAUCAUAUACAAUUAUAUUUUACAAAUAAUUUUAUAAAUGAUAUAAUUUUGAUAAAUGCAUUUUUUAUGUAUAAUUUCAACAAAUAUGUUAUUAUUUAAUUUUUUAUAGCUUAAGGUAAUAUUUAUAUUUUAAAUGUUUUUUCUUCGAAUUAUAUAUAUCAUAAACAAUUAUUUCUAGCGUUAUUUCAAAAUAAAUUUUGGGGAGCAAUUCCAUAAAGUAAGACAAAGGUUUUAGCUUGACAAUUGAAAAAAAUGCAUAAAAAAAGGGAUAUCCUGUGAAGUUCAAGACAAUACAAUUGAAAUGACAAUACUGAAGUGUGAGCACAACCUCGGUAGCAUGUUAUGAGAGGGUUAGAAAAUGAAAUAACAUUACUGAGGAUGAAACUACAAAACUCCAUUGUUUUUAAAACUCAUAAAUCCUUAUAGCUGAAUAGGGUUAAACAAAUUCAUCAAAAUCUCUAUCAUUCUUUUAUAGUAUCAAAUUUAAAUUAUUGUCCUAUUUUUAAGAUAACAAAUUAUUACUGUAAAAAAAGAUUAUAAAUUAUUAAAGAUAAAUUCAUAUAUAUAUAUAUAUAUAUAUAUAUAUAUAUAUAUAUAUAAUUAUAACCAAAUAACUAAAAUUAUUUUUUAUUAACAAAUCUUAUGAAAAAAAAUUAAUUCAAUGAGCUAGCUCACAAGCUAUUUCUGUCCGGCACACCCUAUUUCUUCAUUUGAAACAUUUUUUGUUUGAAUGGUUUAAAUUUAAAUAUGUUUUAAUUCUUGCUAAAAAAUUUAAUUUUGAUUUUUGUCCCUUUUCAAUUAUUGUUAACUUUUUGUCCUUAAUAAUUUUUUUUUUACUUUGGAUUUGUUUACAUAGGACUUUAGAAAAUGAAAUAAAAUUAUUUUUAAAGUUAUCUGAGAAAAAACAGAAAUAUUAUUAGAAACCAAAAAGUUAACAGAAAUUUAUCACAAAUAACAAAAACAAAAUUUAAAGAUUUAUCAAGAACUAAAAAUAUAUUUAAAACGGUUGUAACACAAAAGGAGAUGAAAAAUCAAUCAUUAUGCUAUUCUCCUUGAACAAGAGUUAUAAUUUCCAUCUAAUACUUCUUUUGGAUAUUGAAAUUAUUCGAUGAAACAACUUUAAAUUAAAUUUCAUAGAGCAACUCAGUCCAUACAAUGGAUUGUGUUUUACCUUGACAGUUGAAAAAAUGCAUUAAAAAGAAGGAUUUUCCGUGAAGGUUCAAGACAUUACAUGCAUGCUUAAUUUUAAAUGAUGAUGAUAUAUAUAGUAUAAGGUUAUUUGUUAUUUAUUUGAUGAGUUAACUUAAUAUUUAAUUCCAUCCACUCCACUACUUGCUAAAACUGACCACCCUCUUCCGAUUGACUCAAGGUUUACAAAAUUCGCUCCGUCAUGUUGUUCCAUUCCUAGAUGGUAUUUUAAAGGGAAAAAAUGGUUAAAUAAGGAUAUGACGUAUAAAAAUCAAAUAAAUCGAUCGUGUUUGCAGAAAAAAUGAGUUCCAAAGUCAAGUCAAUUUAAAUUGCAAUUGGGACAACAUUGAUAGUGUGAAAGGGUUAUAAAAUGUAUGUGUCAAUCUGCGUGAGGGAUGGGCUGUUAAGUGUUAAAGCUUAAUUUAGCCACAAAUUUUGCAUAUAGUGUUUUUAUUUUGCCUAUAAAUAUUAAUCUUUGGUUCGUGAUUCCUUGAUCUUUCAUGUAUAUUUUCUCUUAUAGUAAGGGCACGUAAACAGUUUUGGGUAGAAUAUGGAAUCAUGGAUGUGGUGUUUCCUUCUCUGUUCCCAUUUGCUCAUCCUUUAUUUUUCACCCUCUCAUUCCUUAUGCCACCCCCAUGACAGCUUUGCCUUGCUGCAGUUCAAAAACUCCUUCACUAUUAAUACUAGUUAUGACCAUUAUGAAUAUCCUUAUUAUUAUCAUAAAUGUGAUACUGGUUAUUCAAAAACGACAACAUGGGAAAUUGGAGGAGAUUGUUGCUCUUGGGCUGGAGUCACCUGCCACCCCAUCUCAGGCCACGUCACUCAGCUCGACCUCAGCUGCAGUGGCCUUGUCGGUAAUAUUCAUUCAAACAGUACGCUUUUCCAUCUUUCUCAUCUUCACUCACUCAACCUUGCUUUCAAUCAUUUUAAUCAUUCUCAUUUGUCAUCUCUCUUUGGUGGGUUUGUGAGCCUCACUCAUCUCAACUUGUCUUCUUCUGACUUUGAAGGGGAUAUUCCUUCCCAAAUCUCUCACCUUUCCAAAUUAGUCUCACUUGAUCUCUCAUAUAAUAUGUUAAAGUGGAAGGAAGACACUUGGAAGAGAUUGCUCCAAAAUGCAACAGUUUUAAGGGUGCUUCUUUUGGACGAAACAGAUAUGUCUUCCACUUCAAUCAGGACACUCAAUAUGUCUUCCUCUUUGGUUACUCUUAGUUUGAGAUGGACUUGGCUAAGAGGAAAGUUGACCGAUGGCAUUCUCUGUUUACCAAAUCUACAGCACCUAGAUCUUGCAUAUAAUUGGGACAUUCAAGGCCAGCUUCCAAAAGUGAGUUGCAGCACAGCUUCUCUUGGUUUCUUAGAUCUUUCAGGUUGUGGUUUGCAAGGGUCAAUCCCUCCCUCUUUCUCCAACCUCACACUUCUCACUUCCCUGGACCUCUCAAGUAACCACCUCAACGGUUCAAUCCCAUCCUCACUCUUAAUCCUUCCACGGCUAACCUUUCUGAAUCUAAACAAUAACCAACUCAGUGGUCAAAUCCCAGAUGUCUUUCAUCAGUCAAACAACUUUCACGAAUUGGAUUUGAGUAAUAACAAAAUAGAGGCUGAGCUGCCAUCAACGCUUUCAAAUCUUCAACAUCUCAUUCUCUUGGAUCUUUCACAUAAUAAAUUUAUUGGUCAAAUCCCAGAUGUGUUUGCCAGGCUAAACAAAUUGAAUACUCUCUAUCUUGGGGGAAACAAUUUUGGAGGACAAAUCCCAUCUUCAUUGUUUGGCUUAACUCAACUUUCUGAGUUGGAUUGUUCUAAUAAUAAAUUGGAGGGCCCUCUGCCUAACAAUAUCACAGGGUUUUCAAGCUUAACAUGGUUAAGGUUAUAUGGCAACUUACUGAAUGGGACAAUUCCAUCUUGGUGUUUAUCUUUGCCAUCUUUGACGACUUUAGAUCUAUCGGGAAACCAGUUCACAGGGCUGCCAGUGCAUCUAAGUACAAUCUCAUCAUAUUCCUUGGGGAUUCUAUAUUUGUCCUACAAUAAGCUGCAGGGAAACAUUCCAGAAUCAAUUUUCAGCCUUGUAAACCUUACUCUCUUAGAUCUAUCAUCAAAUAAUUUCAGUGGGUCUGUCCACUUUCGACUUUUCUCCAAGCUUCAAAUUUUGGAAAACCUUGACCUUUCACAGAAUGAUCAAUUAUCACUAAAUUUCAAAUCCAAUGUCAAUUAUAGUUUC